GCUCCUGGCUGCCCGGCAGCAGUUCUUCAGUGGCAAGCUUUAUGUCCUUCUCUAGUAGCUAAAGCUGCCAGUUGAAGAACUGUUGAAUGUAGCCACG
This is a microRNA precursor of Coturnix japonica (Japanese quail), 97 nucleotides long. Ensembl annotates it as microRNA 22. Its record names the gene MIR22. NCBI's taxonomy places the organism in Eukaryota, Metazoa, Chordata, Aves, Galliformes, Phasianidae. The record is from Ensembl.